This 1481-nucleotide ribosomal RNA is filed under the name Burkholderia multivorans. RNAcentral's name for it is "partial 23S ribosomal RNA". It matches the Rfam family "Bacterial large subunit ribosomal RNA", at positions 1449 to 2925 of the family's 2925-position model. Lineage: Bacteria; Pseudomonadati; Pseudomonadota; Betaproteobacteria; Burkholderiales; Burkholderiaceae. The record is from RNAcentral.
GUUAGAUGCGAUGGGGGGACGGAUCGCGGAAGGUUGUCCGGGUGUUGGACGUCCCGGUCGCUGCAUUGGAGAAGGCGCUUAGGCAAAUCCGGGCGCAGGAUUCAAGGGUGUGGCGCGAGCGACUUCGGUCGCGAAGCAAUUGGAAGUGGUUCCAAGAAAAGCCUCUAAGCUUCAGUCUAACGAUGACCGUACCGCAAACCGACACAGGUGGGCGAGAUGAGUAUUCUAAGGCGCUUGAGAGAACUCGGGAGAAGGAACUCGGCAAAUUGGUACCGUAACUUCGGGAUAAGGUACGCCCUUGUAGCUUGACCAGCCUGCGCUGGAAGGGUGAAGGGGUUGCAAUAAACUGGUGGCUGCGACUGUUUAAUAAAAACACAGCACUCUGCAAACACGAAAGUGGACGUAUAGGGUGUGACGCCUGCCCGGUGCCGGAAGAUUAAAUGAUGGGGUGCAAGCUCUUGAUUGAAGUCCCGGUAAACGGCGGCCGUAACUAUAACGGUCCUAAGGUAGCGAAAUUCCUUGUCGGGUAAGUUCCGACCUGCACGAAUGGCGUAACGAUGGCCACACUGUCUCCUCCCGAGACUCAGCGAAGUUGAAGUGUUUGUGAUGAUGCAAUCUACCCGCGGCUAGACGGAGAGACCCCAUGAACCUUUACUGUAGCUUUGCAUUGGACUUUGAACCGAUCUGUGUAGGAUAGGUGGGAGGCUAUGAAACCGGAACGCUAGUUUCGGUGGAGCCGUCCUUGAAAUACCACCCUGGUUUGUUUGAGGUUCUAACCUUGGUCCGUGAUCCGGAUCGGGGACAGUGCAUGGUAGGCAGUUUGACUGGGGCGGUCUCCUCCCAAAGGGUAACGGAGGAGUACGAAGGUACGCUAGGUACGGUCGGAAAUCGUGCUGAUAGUGCAAUGGCAUAAGCGUGCUUAACUGCGAGACCGACAAGUCGAGCAGGUGCGAAAGCAGGUCAUAGUGAUCCGGUGGUUCUGUAUGGAAGGGCCAUCGCUCAACGGAUAAAAGGUACUCUGGGGAUAACAGGCUGAUACCGCCCAAGAGUUCAUAUCGACGGCGGUGUUUGGCACCUCGAUGUCGGCUCAUCUCAUCCUGGGGCUGUAGCCGGUCCCAAGGGUAUGGCUGUUCGCCAUUUAAAGAGGUACGUGAGCUGGGUUUAAAACGUCGUGAGACAGUUUGGUCCCUAUCUGCCGUGGGCGUUGGAUAUUUGAAGGGGGCUGCUCCUAGUACGAGAGGACCGGAGUGGACGAACCUCUGGUGUACCGGUUGUGACGCCAGUCGCAUCGCCGGGUAGCUAUGUUCGGAAGAGAUAACCGCUGAAAGCAUCUAAGCGGGAAACUCGCCUUAAGAUGAGAUAUCCCUGGAGGCUUGACCUCCUUGAAGGGUCGUUCGAGACCAGGACGUUGAUAGGUCGGGUGUGUAAGCGCAGUAAUGCGUUCAGCUAACCGAUACUAAUUGCCCGUAAGGCUUGAUCCU